This 735-nucleotide long non-coding RNA is filed under the name Linum usitatissimum (flax). Its description in RNAcentral is "long non-coding RNA (LUSI_LNC004592)". The record is from RNAcentral. Lineage: Eukaryota; Viridiplantae; Streptophyta; Magnoliopsida; Malpighiales; Linaceae.
AUAAAUUAUACACUUUCAUACUUUAUUACUUGUUGAAGAAGGAUUUUAAGACGAUUCUAAAAGCCUCUACAUCGAAACGUUCUGAAGGAAACACAACCUUCGUUUAGUGACAACAUGUUAGACACUUGAAUAUUGGAAUAGAUGGUACAUAAUUGCAAAUUAGAAUAGACAAGGAUAGCAUUAGUAACCCGGUAUACAAGUUUAUCAUUGGCCAAAUGAAGUUGCGGCUGGUCUCCAAUUGUCCUUCCAAGGUUUAAGGUUUGGUUAGUUUGGUUGGUGGUCCAUAGUGCAACGAUCAUUGAUGUGAUCCAACCCAGUUCGAACCCGUCAGCCGGCCAGAUCUGGAAUGGGUGUCAGCUCAGCUUCGGUAACAUAAGAAAAAAAAGGGAAAGCAGGAUUGUCAUUUGUUGAAAGAAAACCAGGACUAUAAGAAGAAAUCGAAAGAAAGAAAAAGCUCUCUUUUGUUGUUCCUGAUCAAUUCAAGAGGUGGGGAAGAACGUAGCGAGGGUAAUGGGGAUCUGUGGCAUUUUUUUAUCUGAUCCAAUUAUUGUCGUCGUCUCCGUUCUUUCUCUUGCUCUAUGCCUCUUCCAGCUCGUCGAACCCAUUUCGAAAUGUAUGGUGGUCUAUUGGGCAUUACCAUUACAGAUCACAGGAUUUGGGAUUCUUCUAAGAUUUCUAAAAGUUUACGUAAUUUUGUAUUCUUGUUCGUUCAUAUUUCAUACGGAUUCGAUUGGU